Molecule: ribosomal RNA, 387 nt
Filed under: Pyramimonadales sp.
Lineage: Eukaryota; Viridiplantae; Chlorophyta; Pyramimonadophyceae; Pyramimonadales
Description: partial small subunit ribosomal RNA
Rfam family: Eukaryotic small subunit ribosomal RNA
Source: RNAcentral
AUUCCAGCUCCAAUAGCGUAUAUUUAAGUUGUUGCAGUUAAAAAGCUCGUAGUUGGAUUUCGGAUGGGUUUGACCGGUCCGCCUUUGGUGUGCACUGGUCGCGCCUAUCUUGCUGUCGGGGACGCGCUCCUGGCCUUAAUUGGCUGGGACGCGGAGUCGGCGAUGUUACUUUGAAAAAAUUAGAGUGUUCAAAGCAGGCCUAAGCUCUGAAUACAUUAGCAUGGAAUAACGCUAUAGGACUCUGGUCUUAUUGCGUUGGUCUUCGAGACCGGAGUAAUGACUAAGAGGGACAGUUGGGGGUAUUUGUAUUCCAUAGUCAGAGGUGAAAUUCUUGGAUUUAUGGAAGACAAACUAAUGCGAAAGCAUCUACCAAGGAUGUUUUCAUUA